RNAcentral lists this long non-coding RNA (633 nucleotides) under Mytilus galloprovincialis (Mediterranean mussel). Lineage: Eukaryota; Metazoa; Mollusca; Bivalvia; Mytilida; Mytilidae. The record is from RNAcentral.
UAAAUAUAUAUAUAUAAGAUUUUCCAGCAACGUUCGCAACUGAUAUAUAGAUUUCGCCCCUGCAACAAGAGUGUAACGAUAUUUCUCCUCUCGAGACAGUUAAAACUUAAUAUGCAAAGUGCUAGGCUUGUCGAGCUUUUUAAAUUAUUUAUUUUGAUCUGUUGUGAGUGGAGAAAUAUCGUAAUGCACGAGUUAUAGUGGUGGAAUCUGUUUUCUAAUGAUUUUUGUCCCAUCUUUUUCAAACAUUUGUGGAAAAUUCUGUUCUUUAUAUGUGACGUCAUCAGGCAAAGUCGCCUUUUUUAUGACGUCACAAUAGGAAAUUUUAGAAGAAAUCAAGAAAAUUUGACGUCAUAAUAAUACUUUUGACCAAUCAUUUGCUGAGAAAUAUUUUUCUCACACUAAUCAAAAAAUGUGAAAAUAGCACAAAAUUAGAGAAACACAGUUUUACAUUGAUUAGAUUACAACUUUUAUAUUUUAAUUAUUGAUUGCAUUAUGAUUACACUUAUCUUUUCAUUUCUGUGUAUGAUUUGUUUAAAUUGAUAUGAUACACCAAUACGCAAUCUUUUCGAUAAUUUAAAAUUUGAACAGCAUUUAUUGACAUAUUUUAUCUUUUAUUAUUUUUUUUUACAUGUA